ACAGAAGUACCUCGAAGUCUCCAAAUGCUCUCCUUGCCUCAAGGGUGAUAUGCCUGAGUAGCGGUACCUGGAUAUGCACAUGAAAAACAUGCACAGCAAGCGCAUGAGUACACCACAGCGGUACUUAGUAAGUGCCAAGCCUAACCUCGGUCGGGUAGCGACGAGGAAGGUCAGGGCCCUACUAAAAUUAAACAUAAUAAUAAGCUUCAACAAUAUGAAAUAAAUGAUAUAAAUGAGAAUGACAAUGAAAUAAUACAUGCUAUACCAUGCAGCAACAAAUAUACAAAUAAUAGAGUAAAACUGGAAAGCAGAGCAGCUCAAUACCAACAGUAGCACGAGGAUCUCCCAAGAUAUCGUCUUGUAGUCCAUUUUAUCAAAUGUCCAGUGUAUCUCCCGGGAUACCGUCCCGUAGUCCAUCAUAUGUAUUAUCCGAAGGAUCUCCUGGGAUAUCAUCCCGUAGUCCAACUAUCAACGCGCGGGGAUCUACCGGAACCCCGGUCCGUAGUCCCAAAUGUAAAUAUGCAAGAGGGAUCUACCAGGAUCUAACCUGUAGUCCGAAAGUAAAUGUGUAGGGGGAUCUACCGGGAAUCUAACCCGUAUUCCCAAAGUAAAUAUGCAGGGGGAUCUAUCGGGAAUCUAACACGUAGUCCCAAAGUAAAUACACAGCAGCAGCAAGUAGAUGUUCAAAAAUAAAGUUUCAACCAAGGAAACAAGUAAUUCUAGCCUAGCAUGCUUCACGUAAUGAGACUUAGACAAUUUAACAAAUAGGCAAUUACGAAUCAGCUAAACAUGCUUCUCUAGCUAACAUCAGGCUAAAAUUUGCAAGUAUAUAAUAAAACAGGUAAGAAAGGAACUCAGUUUUAGAUACUUAAAGCAAAACCAGACUUUCAACAAUUAGCUCAAGUACGUGCUCGUCACCUCACAUACAAGGAAUUCAAUUACCAAAUAUCAUAUCCUAAGGGGAAGAUACCCCACACAAGGUUAGAUAAGCCACUUACCUCGAAUCGGCUCGAAGUCAACUAGAAAUCAUGCCUUUGACACGAGUAUCCGACCCCAAAUGGUCCAAAUCUAUUCAAUUCAACUACAUUCAUAAAGAACAUCUCAAAUAAUUGAUUCUACGAUUAAUUCAAAGCUAAGACACAAAAUUAGGUAAAAUAACCAAAAUUCCCCUCAGGACAAUGUCUCGGAAUUGGAUGAAACCUAUAUUUUCGGAAACCUCAUACUCUCACGAGUCUAUACAUAAUAAGAACACAAAAAUCAGAGUCCAAAUGACCCCUCAAAGCCUAGAUUAAAAUUCAAAAUCUCAAGCCCUAGUUCUUCCAUUUUUGUCCAAGUUUCCAUGAAUUUCUAGGUUAAUUUCACAAUAGAAUCACGUUUUAGGUUCAAAAAUCCAAUCGAUUCUCCUUGAUUCCCUCUUGAAUCUCCCUCAAAAAGCUCUAAAAUACUCAGCUAUUGUGGAAAAUAUGGCUCAAAAUCGCGGAUGAAAUGUUUUAUAACUUUCUGUCCAGCCCUGAUAUUCCUUCAUCGCAAUCGCAGCCUCAGCCACGUAAUCGUGAAGCAUAUUUUAUUUUUCUCAAAAUUAACCCACGCGAAUGCGACACUAUCCCCCCAAACGCGAUGGUUUAGACCCAUAUACCUACACAAACGCGGUCACACCUAUGCGAACGCGAAGAACAAACAUACUGGACCCUAGAUCCUCAUACGCGAACGCAAACAUUACCAUGUGAAUGCUAAGCACCAGAUCAAGACCUUCAACGAAUGUGGAACCUCAACUGCGAAUGCGAAGAGCAAAACACUUGCCUUCUAAAAUCCUUCUACACGAUCGCGAGAGACCUCACGCGAUUGCAAAGGCCAAAAUUCCUGUGCAACUGUUGCUGCAAUUUCUGCAAUCUUCCAAGACUCAAACUUCCCGUUAGCCAUCCGAAAUCACUCCGAGGCCCCCAGGACCUCAACCAAAAGCACCAACACAUCCUAAAACCUCAUUCAAACUUGUUCCAAUUAUCACAACACCUCAAACAACACCAAAUCCAUUAAUUCACAUCGAAUUCAAGCCUAAGCUUUCUAAAAACUUCUGAAAUACGCUUUUGAUAAAAAAACCAACCAAACCACGUCCGAAAGAACUGAAAUUUUGCACACACAUACCAAAUGACAUAAAGAAGCUAAAACAACUUUCGGAAUUCCAUUCCGUCCCUUGGAUCAAAAUCUCAAUGUCGAACCGGAAACUUCCAAAAUUCAAAUUUCGGCAUUUCAAGUCUAAAUUAGCUACGGACCUCCAAACACAAUCCGAACACGCUCCUAACCCCGAAAUCACCUAUCGAAGCUAACAGAACCAUCAGAUUUCUAUUAUGAGGCCGUCUUCACACUGUUACGACUAUAGACAACUUUCCCAAUACUUAAGCUCUCAAUUAGGGACUAAGUAUCCCAAAACUCUCCGAAAAUUAAAACCGAACAUCCCGGCAAAUCAAAUUAGCAGAAAUAAACUUGGGGAUAGCAGUUAAUAGGGGAUUGGGACGUUAAUUCUUAAGACGACCGGCCAGGUCGUCACAUCCUCCUACACUUAAACAUUCAUUCAUCCUCGAACGAGCAUAGAGACAUACCUGAAGUAGUGAAAAGAUGAGAGUAACGACUGCACAUAUCCUGCUCGGUCUCCCAGGUUGUCUCCUCAGCCGGCUGACCCCACCAUUGAACCAUUACUAAAUGUUCUUUGACCGCAACUUUCUGAUCUGCUUGUCCAAUAUAGCAACUAGCUCCUCAACUUAGGAUAGAUCCUUGUCCAGCUGGACUGAACUGAAAUCCAACACGUGCGACGGAUCACCAUGAUAUCUCCAUAGCAUCGAAACAUGAAACACCAGAUGAACUCCUGUCAGGCUGGGAGGUAAGGAAAGCUCAUAAGCAACCUCCCCAACACGCCUCAAUAUCUCAAAAGGUCCAAUGAACCUCAUACUCAACUUCCCUUUCUUCCCAAAUCUCAUAACACCCUUCAUAGACGAAAUUCGAAGCAGAACCCACUUUCCAACCAUAAAGGAAACAUCACGAACCUUCCGGUCCGCAUAGCUCUUCUGUUUGGACAGGGCUGUAUGGAGUCUAUCCUGAAUUACCUUAACCUUCUCCAAAGCAUCCUGAACCAAAUCUGUGCCCAAUAGUCUGGCCUCACCCCGCUCAAACCAACCUACCGGAGAUCUACACCUCCUACCAUAUAAGGCCUCAUACAGUGCCACCUGAAUGUUGGACUGAUAGCUGUUGUUGUAAGCAAACUCCGCCAAUGGCAAGAACUGAUCCUAAGACCCUCCAAACUCAAUCACAUACACGUGGAGCAUGUUCUCAAGAAUCUGAAUAGUGCACUCAGACUAUCCGUUCGUCUGGGGUGAAAUGUUGUGCUCAACUCCACCCGAGUACCCAACUCCUGCUGAACGACCCUCCAGAACCAUGAUGUAAACUUAGUACCUAUGUCUAAAAUAAUAGAAAUUGGAAUACCAUAAAGACGAACGAUCUCCCAGAUAUAAAUCUCUGCUAACCGCUCUGAUGAAUAAGUAGUACACAUAGGAAUGAAAUGAGCGGACUUGGUUAGCCAAUCUACAAUUACCCAAAUGGCAUUAAACUUCUUCGAGGUCCUUGGGAGUCCAACUACAAUAUCCCGAAAAUAAAUCUCCGCCAACCACUCCAAAGAAUAAGUGGUACACACUGGAAUGAAAUGAGCGGACUUGGUCAGCCGAUCCACAAUAAUCCAAAUAGCAUCAAACUUCUUCAAGGUCCGUGGUAGUCCAGAUACAAAGUCCAUGGAAAUAUGCUCCCACUUCCAUUCCGGAAUCUCUAUCUGCUGAAGUAACCCACCAGGUCUCUGGUGCUCGUACUUCACCUACUGGCAGUUGAGGCAUCUAGCUACAAAUCUAACUAUAUCUUUCUUCAUCCGCCUCCACCAAUAGUGACGCCUCAAGUCCUGAUACAUCUUCGCGGCACUCGGAUGGAUGGAAUACCGCGAACUGUGGGCCUCCUCUAGAAUCAGCUCCCGUAGCCCGUCGACAUUGGGUACACAAACCCGACCAUGCAUCCUCAAUACUCCGUCCUUACCAAUGAUCACAUCUCUGGCAUCACCAUGCUGAACCUUGUCCUUAAGGACAAGCAAAUGAGGGUCAUCAUACUGCCACUCCUUAAUACGAUCAAAUAAUGAAGACUGAGAAACCACACAAGCAAGAACCCGACUUGGAUCCGAAAGAUCCAAUCUCACAAAAUGGCUGGCUAAGUCCUGAACGUCCAUCUCCAUAGGCCUAUCCGAUAGGGUAAAUAUGCCAAACUCCCCAAACUCUCCGCCCGACGACUCAAGGCAUUAGCCACUACAUUGGGGUUGCCCGGGUGAUACAAAAUAGUGAUGUCAUAAUCCUUUAGCAAUUCUAACCACCUCCCCCGGUGCAGAUUUAGAUCCUUCUGCUUGAACAAAUGUUGCAAACUCCUAUGAAUAGUAUAAAUCUCACAAGGCACACCGUAAAGAUAAUGGCGCCAAAUCUUCAAGACGUGAACAAUGGCAGCUAACUCAACAUCAUGACAAGAUAAUUCUUCUCGUGUAUCUUCAACUAUCCAGACGCGUAGGAAAUCACUCUACCGUCCUACAUCAAUACUACUCCAAGGCCAACUCUCGAGGCAUCACAAUAGACGGUAAAAGACCCUGAACCUGUAGGCAAUACCAAAACCGGGGUUGUAGUUAAAGCUGUCUUGAGCUUUUAAGAGCUUGCUUCACACUCCUUUGUCCACUAAAAUAGAGCAUUAUUCUGGGUUAAUGUAGUCAUAGGGGCUACAAUCGAUGAAAACCCCUCCAUAAAACAACGUUAGUAGCUCGCCAAACCAAGGAAACUACGAAUCUCUAUAGCUGAGGACGGCCUAGGCCAGCUCUGCACAGCCUCUACCUUAUUUGGCCACCCGAAUGCCCUCACUCGAUACCACGUAGCCUAAGAAUGCCACUGAAUCCAACCAAAACUCAUAUUUUGAGAAAUUUGCAUAUAACUUCUUCUCUCUCAGAGUUUAGAGCACUGUCCUUGGAUCUGCUCAUGUUCUUCCCGACUCCGGGAAUACACUAGAAUGUCAUCAAUAAAGACAAUGACAAAAGAGUUGAUAUAUGGCCAAAAUACACUGUGCAUCAAGUACAUGAAGGCUAUUGGAGCACUGGUCAGAUCAAAUGACAUAACAAGAAACUCAUAAUGACUGUACCGAGUCCUGAAAGCACUCUUUGGGAUAUCUGGCUCCCGAAUCUUCAACUGAUGGUAACCUGAGCGCAAAUCAAUCUUAGAAAACACCCAUGCGCCCUGAAGCUGGUCAAACAGUUCAUCAAUAUCAGGCAAAGGAUAAUGGUUCUUCACCGUGACCUUGUUCAACUAGCGAUAAUCAAUACACAUACGCAUAGAACCAUCAUUUUUCUUCAUAAACAAGACAGAAGCACCCCAAGGUGAAACACUAGGCCGGAUAAAGCCCUUAUCAAGUAAUUCCUAUAACUGAUCCUUCAACUCCUUCAACUCAGGAGGAGCCAUAUGAUAUGGAGGAAUAGAAAUGGGUUGAGUGCCUGGCAACAAAUCAAUGCCAAAAUCCAUGUCUCUAUCGGGUGGCAUGCCCAGAAGAUCUGCUAGAAAUACAUCAAGAUAAUCCUGUACCACUGGGACUGAAUCAACAGAAGGGGUAUCAACAUUGACAUCUCUCAUAUAAGCUAAAUACACGGCACACCCUUUCUCAACCAUACGCUGAGCUUUAAGAAAAGAGAUAACUCUGCUAGGAGUGUGAUCUAAAGUACCACUCCUCUCAACACGCGGUACACCUGGCAUAGCCUGCGUCACGGUUUUGGCGUGACAAUCAAGAAUAGAUUAAUGGGGCGACAACCAGUCCAUGCCCAAAAUAAUAUCAAAAUCAACCAUGCUGAAUAGCAAUAAGUCUGCUCUGGCCUCAAAACCACAAAUAGUAACCAAACAUGACCGAUAAACAUGGUCCACAGCAAGUGAAUCCCCCAAAGGAGUAGAAACAUAAACAAGGGAACUCAAAUAAUCCCGAGAUACACCCAAAUGCAGAGAAAAAUAAGAGGACACAUAAGAGUAAGUAGAUACUAGAUCGAAUAGAACCCAUGCAUCUCUGCGGCAAACCAAUAUAAUACUUGUGAUAACAAAAUCGGAGGCAACAGCCUCGACACGAGUGGUAAGGGCAUAGUAUCUAGCCUGGCCUCCCACUCGAGGGUGACCUCUGUCUCCCCAGUCUCCACUUCUUGCUGGCUAAGUGGGUGGGGGGCGACUGGAGCUAUAACCAUAGCCUAGGAACUCUAUGGGGCACAUUGUGGCUGAGAAGUCUGUGAAGAUGCACCCCUCCCAAGUCUGGGGUAGUACCAAACUACGUGGCAUGUGUCACCACACUCAAAACAAGCGUUGGGAGGCUGUGGUGGUUGCGACUGGCUAGGGCCAAGUCUGCUGGACUGACCUCUAGAAGCACCCCGCGCAGGAGGCACGCUAGAAAUCGGAGGUGCAUAAUAAGGCUCCUGAGGCCUAGGAGGAGCUGGAGCUGAAGCACUGCUAGCUGUUGGAAGAGCUGAAUGAACGGGGCGACCCAUAUAACCCCUACCAUGACGACCUUCCCAUGGGGUACGGGCACCAGAAUAGUGGCUCGACUCUCGAGACCUCUUGGCCUCUCUCUCCCCUCUCUCCCUAGCAUGCAUACCCUCAAUCCUCCUAGCAAAUCUCACUACCUGCUGAUAAGAAACAUCCAUCUCCAGCUCACGAGCCAUGCCAGAUCCGAUGCUAGGAAUAAACCCCUCAAUAAACCAGCGAACCCUCUCGCGAACAAUAGCAACCAAGGCUGGUGCAUACCUAGCCAAACUGGUGUAACAGACAACAUACUCUGAAACAGUCACAGUACCCUAGUGCAAAUGCUCAAACUCUGCACGCCAUGCAUCCCUAAGGCUCUGAGGAACAUACUCUCGCAAAAGCAGAUCUAAAAAUUGAGUCCAAGUCAGUGAAGUAGCCUCAUCUGGACUAUCUAACUCAUAGGUGUGCCACCACUCAUAGGCGGCCCCUCGAAGCUGGAAGGGGGUGAAAGAAACCCCGAUGGAUCCUGACAUACCCAUGGUAUGGAGAAUGCGGUAACACUCAUCAAGAAAACCCAAAAAAUCCUCUGAUGCUAGAUCACUGAAUACAUGAGGUUGUACUUCUUGAACCUCUCAACCCUCAGCUGCUCAUCCUCGGAAGACGUUGCCUAUCCCAGGGAUGAUCUAGUACUGCAGGCGGCAGGUAUAACCUCUAAGACCUGCUCAACAUGUACUCGCUGCUCAGGAGUGCGGACGGCGGGAGUCUGUGCUUCUCCCCCGGCCUGAGAUGUGGCUGCAGCAACGGGAAGCAACCCUGCCUGAGCCAAGGUGGUGUACAUGCUCAUAAACUGUGCCAGAGUCUCCUAGAGAGCUGGAGUAGUGGUAGCAGUAGUAGUAGUAGGCGUGUCAGGUGCCUGGACUCCAGCUGGACUUGCUGGUGGUACCCCGGCAGCAGAUCACACAGGUGCUCUAGCUGCACCACGUGCGCUUCCUCGACCUCUACCCCGGCUCCGGCCUCUGAACGUGAUCCUGACUUGAUAUAUUGGACUUCUGCCUAGAAUUUAAAGCUCCAAAUCAUUCAUUUUAGCUCCAAACUUGUUUAUUCACUCGAAAUCACAUUCUACACAACAUACCACACAUAACAGUACCAAGUACUAAUAAUUAUGCUCAAACACAUUCAAAAUAUAGUAAUUGAAGUGUAAAAUAUAGUCAGAAUACGGGUUCCUAGCCUACCAUCAACACCUUAUACUAAAACCAUGCUCGCCCCCGAGCAAUCAAACUGCACUUAAAUAGAGAUGACAUUUUCAGAAACCAUCCUAAUUCAUUCUGCUAAUAGUAAUUAAAGUUGACUAAGCACUAUACCGUAACAUCCUAACCUUAAGACUCAACUCACAAGCACCACAUAUUUUUUAAAAACCUGCUCAUUUACUAUAACACAGAGUCAAAAGACAAUAUCUUUCCUUCACAAGUCAUAUGCCCUCACACAAACAAUAGAUAGUAGUUCCACGCACAAAAAGGUUCAAGAAUAAAUAAAAACUCAAGAUAGACAGAUGUGAGCACAUGAUUUUUUCCAUAUAUGAAUUACACCCAUAAAAUAUCAAAAAAUAAUUUUUUCCAUUUUUUACAAUUUUAUAGGAUUUUUAAGGAUUUUUUGUUAAUUAUUUGCAUUUGUUGUGCAUAUUUAAUUUCCAAAAAUACCAAAAAAUAUCAUGCAUUGUAUUUAGAGUUUGUGCUCACAUAUUAAGAUUAGAUAAUUAAUUAAUUACUUUAUUAAAAUAAUAAUUACAAAAAUAGCUCAUUUUUACAUUCCUAGCUUUUAAUUUGGGAUUAUUAAGUUUUCUCUUUAAAUUUAGGAUCAACUAAUUUUUAUAAACUUUAUAGUUAGAUAAUUAGCUUAAAUUUACUAUUUGAAUUAAUUUAGGAAUUUAAUUUAGGUUUUUAACUAAUUAAAGAAAGAAAAGAAAACAAAAGAAAUGGAAAUUGAAAAAAAGCUGGUUUUAAGUUGAAUUGAGCCACACAGUUUAGAAGCCCAAGUUUUCCCCAACCCAACCCAAACCGGGUCGACCCGAUCCGAAUCAAUACCCAAACCCUUAUUCUUUUUUAUACCUAAAUACCUAGACACAAAAAGGGAAGUUGGUUUUAAAUUGAAUUAGGCCACACAUUUUAGAAGCCCAAGUUUUCCCAAACCCAACUCAAACCGGGUCGAUCCGACCCGACCCAACACCCAAACCCUUGUUCUUUUUUUUUUUUUAUUAACUAAAUCAAGGCCUAAAACCUAGGGACUAAGACAUCACAAAUCUGCCGCAAUUCUCAAAAUCAUGAAUUCCCAUAGUUCUUCAUUUUCUUCUUCAGCAAAAAUACACAAAAAUGAGAAAGCUAACCAAAGACCAAAGGCGAGACUGUUCUUUUGAUUGAAAAGAGCUACCCAAAGAAGGGUUGAGCUCCUUCUUCGACUUGGAGCUGCUGCUGCUGCUUCUUCCUCGACUGAAUUCCAUCACCAUCGGAAAUGGCCGAAAACUGGCAACGGAAUUGUAUUUCGUCAAUGGAGUUUGCUUAAAGCUCGUGGAGAGCUUGUUUGGGGUUGUCGACCGAGUUUCAAGCUCGGCGUUCCAAUUAGUGUAACGCUUCCGUUGAGAUCGAGCCCCACAGCCCGAGGUUCGAAUUCCAGUCGAGUUGGGUCUGUUCAGUUUCGGUCAAGUUUUGCUGGGAUUCCGGCAAAGCAUUUCAUUUGUCUGUUCGAGUUUUCUAGUUCCGAUGUUUCAGCGAGUCAAACUUAACUAAGGUCCUUUUUUGGUUAAAUUUGGACCUUCAUUUUACAUUUCAUCUUGUACUAGUUUGGGCCUAAGAUUCUGCCAUUUUGGAAAUUCACAUGUUAAUAUUAUCUGUCGUUGUUUGUGUAAUUUGUUUGUGUUUGUUACUUUAUGAUAUUUGUGUUGUCUAUGUUAAUAUCGAGCUUGGAGAUGAAUAACUGUGGAUAUCGAGCCAGCAUUUUUGUUUUCUCCCAUUUUGUGAUUUGGUUUUGUUACUAAGUUGAUAACUGAACCACCGUUCUUUCCCAAUUGGGAAUGUUUUGCUUUUUCUGCCUAUAGACAGAAUAUUUUUUCCCGACUUCAAUACAUGUAUGCAUAAUAUGAGAAAUAUACAAGGA
This 9695-nucleotide long non-coding RNA is filed under the name Nicotiana benthamiana. RNAcentral's name for it is "long non-coding RNA (NBEN_LNC017655)". The record is from RNAcentral. Lineage: Eukaryota; Viridiplantae; Streptophyta; Magnoliopsida; Solanales; Solanaceae.